GUCUUAAUUGUCUGCCAGCAUCUGAUAGGUAGGAAGCAGGCCAAUCUGUAUGUAUAUACCACUGGGAUAUCUAGCCGAUUUGCAGACUUUUCUGCUAUCUGGUUAAUGAGUUAGCACACCCUAGACUCUGUUCUUUUAAAUCCUCAUUGGGCAAUCAUGCAUUCUUUCUGGCUUUGCAAAGGUAAGUAGAAGAAAUGACUGGGGGAAGGUAAUACUGAGGUUGAAGGGCACAGGAGGCAUGGGAAGAGAUGAAAGUAUUGCACUAGACAGUGGGGGAGAAUGUAGCUUAGGGUUGAUAUGUUGAAGGUUCCUGUGCACACCUGAGUUGGGAGCUCCUGCUGUGUAUGUUAGAUGAUGAAAUAAUGCACUGACAUGCUCUGACUGCUCAAAAUAGGACUCCCAGGGAAAAAUGCCAUCCAUGCUUACUCACUCUGCUAGGUAGCAUUGUCUGCACUUUUCUUUAAGCUCUUUCUACAGUUUUUCAAUAUUGAUGAUGCACAGGGACCUGGAAUCCUCUAAGAGAACCUGUACAUCAGGAAAAGGUGACUUUGCUGCAUCUGUAUAAAGGUGUUGCUGCAAAGAGCAAUUGUGAAGAAAGUUUUAGAGUUUCCCUCAGGCCUGGAGCCAAGAGUGGGCUUGUGGCUGAUUGUCAGACAUCUGUCAUCAGCAGAAGUUGCCAGUAGUGGAGCUGGGGGCUACAAAUGAGAGUGACAGAGGGGGGAAAAUGAAAGGAGAAAGCCUCCCCUGGGAAAAAAGGGAGUGAUCCCAUUAUAAAUGAGAGUCAUACAGCAUCCUUCUGGAGGCAUGUUGAAAUUUCCCAUGGGAGGAAGAAGAAUAAACAAAGGCAGAAUGGAAGGAAUACUUAACAGGCCUGGAUUUACUGGGAAGGCCAAAAUGCCUGUGUAUGUUUCCUGCCUUUCCCCAAGUGGUAUUUGCAAUUCAUGUUUCUCCAGUGGAGUGCCACAGUCUCUCUCCAGCUGCUCAAAUCUGCAUGCUAGGUUUGGGCAGCAGAGAGAAAACAAUAUGCAGUGCCCAGCAGCAGAUGGAAUCAUGAGAGAAUCUCCACUGUGAUUGACAUCAGGAAGGGAUCGGCUCCCAGGGACAGUGACUAUGGGUGACUCACUGUUAUACUUCCCUGCUGGACUGCAAAUGGGUACAAGUAAUAGAGGUCUGUGAGGGAAGAGACUUUCUGGCUAUGUGUUGCUUCUGACAAGUCACAGGAGUUUCAGAUUGUCAUGUGUAACAUUAUAGUAGGAUCUCUGAACUGGCAAACCCUACUGGAAACAGAAUACUUCCAGUGAAAUAAUUGCCUCAAUUGUAAGAAAAUGCUCUAGGAAUACAAUGUGACUGGAGAGAUUCAAUAUUUUAUUAAUAUUUUAUUCAAUAUUUUCUUUAAUAACAAUUAUAAUGUAAAGCAUGUAACUAUUUUUAAAAAGCUGUAUUAGAGUCCUAUUGAUUUCUUGUAAGUCAUGCACAAGAGCAGCAGUGUGUGAAAGAUCACAG
This 1503-nucleotide long non-coding RNA is filed under the name Apteryx rowi (Okarito brown kiwi). RNAcentral's name for it is "lncRNA (ENSARWG00000018191.1)". Lineage: Eukaryota; Metazoa; Chordata; Aves; Apterygiformes; Apterygidae. The record is from RNAcentral.